CGCACAUUGCGCCCCUUGGUAUUCCAUGGGGCAUGCCUGUUCGAGCGUCAUUUGUACUCUCAAGCUUUGCUUGGUGUUGGGUGCUGUCUAGGCUACUAGACUCGCCUCAAAAGAAUUGGCAGCCAGUGUAUUGGUCUUGAGCGCAGCACAAUUUGCACUCUAACCAGCUACUUCUGGUACCCAACAAGCCUAUUACAAUUCGCUUGACCUCGGAUCAGGUAGGGAUACCCGCUGAACUUAA
RNAcentral lists this unclassified non-coding RNA (241 nucleotides) under Neophaeosphaeria sp. RNAcentral's name for it is "partial contains 5.8S ribosomal RNA, internal transcribed spacer 2, and large subunit ribosomal RNA". The record is from RNAcentral. Lineage: Eukaryota; Fungi; Ascomycota; Dothideomycetes; Pleosporales; Neophaeosphaeriaceae.